RNAcentral lists this ribosomal RNA (253 nucleotides) under uncultured bacterium. RNAcentral's name for it is "partial 16S ribosomal RNA". It matches the Rfam family "Bacterial small subunit ribosomal RNA", at positions 524 to 776 of the family's 1533-position model. The record is from RNAcentral.
UACGUAGGGAGCAAGCGUUAUCCGGAUUUAUUGGGUGUAAAGGGUGCGUAGACGGGAAAUUAAGUUAGUUGUGAAAUCCCUCGGCUCAACUGAGGAAUUGCAACUAAAACUGGUUUUCUUGAGUGUUGGAGAGGAAAGUGGAAUUCCUAGUGUAGCGGUGAAAUGCGUAGAUAUUAGGAGGAACACCAGUGGCGAAGGCGACUUUCUGGACAGUAACUGACGUUGAGGCACGAAAGUGUGGGGAGCAAACAGG